GUCUCUAUCAAGGGCCUUAGACAUUUCUACAUAAACAGGACCAUAAACCAAAAGGAAGUUCACUCGUUCACAUCUAGAGAAUAAAUUUAGAGAAUAUAAAAAUAAUAAUAAAAAAUAAAACGCGUAACAUUUAACGAUUGACGAUGCAUGGCUAUACGCAUGCCAUUGCCGUGGACUUUGAGGCCACCUGCUUUGAGGAUCAACCGGUUCAGGAAUUACGUAAAUCGGAAAUAAUUGAAUUUCCAGCCGUUUUGGUCAAUCUGAAAACGGGCAAAGUGGAGGCCGAGUUUCACACUUACGUGAAGCCCGUCGAAAGGCCACAACUGAGCGAAUAUUGCACCAAUUUGACGGGCAUACAGCAGAGGACUGUGGAUGCCGGUGUGACGGUGCAGUCGGCGCUCAAUCGAUUCAUCGACUGGCUCAAGAAGGAGUUGAAGGUGCGCAACCUUGUGCUGCCGAAGAUGAGCGAGACCAAUCCGAAGGGCAACUGCAUCCUUGUCACCUGGACCAACUGGGACUUUGGCAUCUGUUUGGUCAAGGAGUGUGAACGCAAGAAAAUGCGCAAGCCCAGCUGCUUCGAUCAGUGGAUGAAUGCCAAGGCCAUAUACCGCUCCUUCUACAAGUUUUUUCCCUAUACCUUUGAAAAAGCGCUGUCCCGUCUGCGCCUCACAUUCCGGGGACGUGCCCACUCCGGCAUCGCUGAUGCCAGAAAUUUGGCCAAGCUCCUGGUCAGGAUGCACCGUGAUGGUGCCCACAUGGCGGUCACCACCGAUCUGUCGCCAGAGCUGCAGCUCAACGAGAACGAUGGCUUCUGAGUGGCAGUUCUGAAAACCAAAAACACAAUUAACAUAUUGGUUUAUAGGCACAACUCCACAAAGGUAAGCGCUGAAUGGGUUUAUGUUUUUUGUGCUCUUAAACCAUUAUUUUUGCGGCCUUCAGUCGUCCUCUACACAAAAACAAACUACAAUGCAAAAAGUCCAGAUGUGAAUGGGAUAAACUUGAAUACACCACGAAUUACUAACUAGAAUUACACACACCAAAGGACAUGAAGGACGACUAAGAGCUGUGCCUAUGGCUGAACACAAACAAACAAAGAGACUGAGAGCUGUACCAAAAACUGAACACAAACUCGCAAGGUAAUUCGUUGGCUCGUUGCUUUUCCUUUGCUGUACUUUAAAUAAUUUGUUUUGACAGCUCGGCAGGUAAAAUGUAAUCGGGUCUGAAGGCUGCCAACAUUUUACAUGCUGCACUAUUAUAUGUGUAAAACACUCCAACGACACACAUUCUCUGUGUACUUAUAUUCAUUCAAUUAAACAAACAUUUAUACUCUCACUCUCGAUGGAGAAACACUCGUACGUCAAUAUUCAUCUGUAUCUGUAUCUGAAUCUGAAUCUGAAUCGUUCUCAAUCAAGCAUCAACUAAAACAUGCUAAUUGGGGGGUAAGUCAUCCGGACCCUCUUUAUUCAUCCUGCAUAUCCUCGGGUAAUUCGUGAGGAUUCAACAUGCCUGGAAUAUUCCGCUGCAUCUGAUGCUUAUUGGACUGCUCCGCGGCCAGGGCUGCCUCGCGCUCCUUCAGACCUCCUAUAACAAACAACAGCAACAAAUUUAUUAAUCAAAAAAUCCACAGAGGCAUCCUUUGUGGCACUCACGCGAAUCUGUAUGCUGGCACACUCUCGUCCAAAUUGAACAGGCCAGUGACACUCUGGAUGAUUGAAGGCCGACUUCAGCAGCGAUGCGACUUACUCCUGUGUAAAUAUCAUAUCAAUAUCGAGCCUAAACUGCACACAAAAGGUAAGAGCCAAACAAAAUGUAUUCUCUUUUUAUUUUGUACUUCAUUGAAUUUCCUUUGACAGACUUCAAAUUUGUUUGUGCACGAAAAAUCAGCUUCCACAUCUGCCUCGAAAUCGGAACGAAUGCGCCCUGCGAUUUCGAGUGCAGCUAAAUAUUUACACCUGAAGAUGAAUACAU
RNAcentral lists this long non-coding RNA (1968 nucleotides) under Drosophila guanche. Lineage: Eukaryota; Metazoa; Arthropoda; Insecta; Diptera; Drosophilidae. The record is from RNAcentral.